Molecule: ribosomal RNA, 324 nt
Filed under: Triticum aestivum (bread wheat)
Lineage: Eukaryota; Viridiplantae; Streptophyta; Magnoliopsida; Poales; Poaceae
Description: partial small subunit ribosomal RNA
Source: RNAcentral
AUGGGAGAAGUUGCUUACAAGUUGGAAUUGCUCAAAGGAUUGUCAGAAGUUCACGAUGUGUUCCACGUUUCUCAGUUGAAGAAGUGCCACGCAGAGAUGGCUGAUAUUCCUCCGAGAGAUACAUUGCCACUGGAAGCGAUUCAGUUGGAUAGCGACUUGACCUACGAGGAGAAACCAGUCAAGAUUCUUGAUUUUGCCAGCCGAGUCACACACAGCAAGGUUAUCAAGUUUUGUAAGGUUCAGUGGAGCCACCAUACUGAGGAUGAAGCCACCUGGGAACGAAGAGGAAGACCUACGGAAGGAUCACCCUCACCUAUUUUCUAG